This 497-nucleotide ribosomal RNA is filed under the name uncultured bacterium. RNAcentral describes it as "partial 16S ribosomal RNA". It matches the Rfam family "Bacterial small subunit ribosomal RNA", at positions 28 to 507 of the family's 1533-position model. The record is from RNAcentral.
GAUGAACGCUGGCGGCGUGCCUAAUACAUGCAAGUCGAGCGAACAGACGAGGAGCUUGCUCCUCUGACGUUAGCGGCGGACGGGUGAGUAACACGUGGAUAACCUACCUAUAAGACUGGGAUAACUUCGGGAAACCGGAGCUAAUACCGGAUAAUAUAUUGAACCGCAUGGUUCAAUAGUGAAAGACGGUUUUGCUGUCACUUAUAGAUGGAUCCGCGCCGCAUUAGCUAGUUGGUAAGGUAACGGCUUACCAAGGCAACGAUGCGUAGCCGACCUGAGAGGGUGAUCGGCCACACUGGAACUGAGACACGGUCCAGACUCCUACGGGAGGCAGCAGUAGGGAAUCUUCCGCAAUGGGCGAAAGCUUGACGGAGCAACGCCGCGUGAGUGAUGAAGGUCUUCGGAUCGUAAAACUCUGUUAUUAGGGAAGAACACAUGUGUAAGUAACUAUGCACGUCUUGACGGUACCUAAUCAGAAAGCCACGGCUAACUACGUG